This 61-nucleotide microRNA precursor is filed under the name Pristionchus pacificus. RNAcentral describes it as "microRNA ppc-mir-360 precursor". Its record names the gene ppc-mir-360. The record is from miRBase by way of RNAcentral. Lineage: Eukaryota; Metazoa; Nematoda; Chromadorea; Rhabditida; Neodiplogasteridae.
UUGUGACCGUUGUUACGGGCACUGCAUCGAUGCCGGGUUGCCCGUCCCCUCGGUUACACCU